AGCCGGAAGACGCUGGAAGAGGGGAUUGAAAAUCCCCGUGUCGGGGGUUCGAUUCCCUCCCCGGCCACCA
This 70-nucleotide transfer RNA is filed under the name Luteimonas wenzhouensis. Its description in RNAcentral is "Luteimonas sp. YD-1 tRNA-Ser". Lineage: Bacteria; Pseudomonadati; Pseudomonadota; Gammaproteobacteria; Lysobacterales; Lysobacteraceae. The record is from RNAcentral.